AUUAGAACGUUGAUGAGAAGAGUAGGCCUUUGCAGGACUUAAGAGACCCCUAGAUUGGUGAGAAUGGGGAGCUUGUACAGGUUGAAAGUAAUCUCUGAGAGUUGAAUGCGAGUUUCGAGUGUUCAAUGGGUGCACCCAUUAUAGUGCCAAGGUAUCGUCACAAUUGUGACCGUACCUGGUGAGGCAUGUUCUGUGAAGAAUGUGCAAUUAUGAGGUGGUAACACGCGAUGCGUCCUUAUU
RNAcentral lists this non-coding RNA (240 nucleotides) under Paucilactobacillus suebicus. RNAcentral's name for it is "Lactobacillus suebicus T-box sequence". It matches the Rfam family "T-box leader". Rfam says of the family: Uncharged tRNA acts as the effector for transcription antitermination of genes in the T-box leader family. The record is from RNAcentral. Lineage: Bacteria; Bacillati; Bacillota; Bacilli; Lactobacillales; Lactobacillaceae.